Molecule: transfer RNA, 73 nt
Filed under: Bos taurus (domestic cattle)
Lineage: Eukaryota; Metazoa; Chordata; Mammalia; Artiodactyla; Bovidae
Also listed under: 5 other names
Rfam family: tRNA
About the family: Transfer RNA (tRNA) molecules are approximately 80 nucleotides in length. Their secondary structure includes four short double-helical elements and three loops (D, anti-codon, and T loops). Further hydrogen bonds mediate the characteristic L-shaped molecular structure. tRNAs have two regions of fundamental functional importance: the anti-codon, which is responsible for specific mRNA codon recognition, and the 3' end, to which the tRNAs corresponding amino acid is attached (by aminoacyl-tRNA synthetases). tRNAs cope with the degeneracy of the genetic code in two manners: having more than one tRNA (with a specific anti-codon) for a particular amino acid; and 'wobble' base-pairing, i.e. permitting non-standard base-pairing at the 3rd anti-codon position.
Source: Rfam by way of RNAcentral
UCCCUGGUGGUCCAGUGGUUAGGACUCUGUGCUUCUGAUGCAGGAAGUGCAGGUUCUAUCCCUGGUCAGGAGA